Long non-coding RNA from Centruroides sculpturatus (bark scorpion), 320 nucleotides. RefSeq lists it as uncharacterized. The record is from RefSeq and is a predicted model, not a curated record. Lineage: Eukaryota; Metazoa; Arthropoda; Arachnida; Scorpiones; Buthidae. The transcript is spliced from 4 exons.
CUUAAGCUUUUUACUGUAUAAUGAUUUUAGGUUUUCUUAUUUUAGCUAUUAUGGCUCCGGUUAAAAACUGGUACCCUUAACUUUGCUAGAAACCCUUCGUGCUAUCAUUAUUAUAAAUUAUUAUCGGUGUAAGAGAAUUCGACUACGACAACGCAUAUGAAGACCUGUUUGCGUACAUAGUCAUAUUCAAGUGUUAUAAUCAAAAAUGGCCGAAGCAGAAGUUUUAAGUAAGGAAAAGAGUGACGUCGUUUGUCCAGUUAAUUACAUACAAGUUGCAGUUGAAACGGAUGGAGUGACGCAGAAUGAAAAUAUGUUUAAGG